Molecule: ribosomal RNA, 480 nt
Filed under: uncultured organism
Description: bacterial SSU rRNA
Rfam family: Bacterial small subunit ribosomal RNA
Source: RNAcentral
GAUGAACGCUAGCGGGAGGCUUAACACAUGCAAGUCGAGGGGCAGCACGUCUUCGGAUGGUGGCGACCGGCGCACGGGUGCGUAACGCGUAUGCAACUUGCCCUUAACUGGAACAUAGCCCGGGGAAACUCGGAUUAAUUUUCCAUAGAAUCUGUUUUCGGCAUCGAAGAAAGAUUAAAGCUCCGGCGGUUAAGGAUAGGCAUGCGUCUGAUUAGCUUGUUGGUGAGGUAACGGCUCACCAAGGCAAUGAUCAGUAGGGGUUCUGAGAGGAUGAUCCCCCACACUGGUACUGAGACACGGACCAGACUCCUACGGGAGGCAGCAGUGAGGAAUAUUGGUCAAUGGACGCAAGUCUGAACCAGCCAUCCCGCGUGCAGGAAGAAGGCCCUAUGGGUUGUAAACUGCUUUUAUACACCAAGAAACCCCUUCUCGUGAGGAGGGCUGACGGUAGUGUAUGAAUAAGCACCGGCUAACUCCGUG